Molecule: ribosomal RNA, 253 nt
Filed under: uncultured bacterium
Lineage: Bacteria
Description: partial 16S ribosomal RNA
Rfam family: Bacterial small subunit ribosomal RNA
Source: RNAcentral
UACGAAGGGGGCUAGCGUUGCUCGGAAUCACUGGGCGUAAAGCGCACGUAGGCGGAUUGCUAAGUCAGGGGUGAAAUCCUGGAGCUCAACUCCAGAACUGCCUUUGAUACUGGCAAUCUCGAGUCCGGGAGAGGUGAGUGGAACUGCGAGUGUAGAGGUGAAAUUCGUAGAUAUUCGCAAGAACACCAGUGGCGAAGGCGGCUCACUGGACCGGAACUGACGCUGAGGCGCGAAAGCGUGGGGAGCAAACAGG